RNAcentral lists this transfer RNA (76 nucleotides) under Marmota monax (woodchuck). Its description in RNAcentral is "tRNA.Ile". Lineage: Eukaryota; Metazoa; Chordata; Mammalia; Rodentia; Sciuridae. The record is from RNAcentral.
GGUGACAUAGCUCAGUGGUAGAGUACUUGCCUAAUAGGUAUGAAGUAUCAGGCCCUGUGUUCAAUUCCCAGCACCA